GGAGAUUGCACAUGUUGUUGAGUUACACUCUGACAUUAGUUUGACUGAAUUGGUGCACAUAACCAUUAAAGUAGAAAAACAAUUGAAGAUGAAGAGAGCUUUGAAGUAUGGCAGUGGUGUCCAUUCAGCUCCAAAGGCCCCUUGGAAACCAAAUGUAGAUAAGACUCCUAAGGGUGAAAAAGAAUUUCCUAAGUUUAGGAAAGAAUAGUGGAAGGGGAAAGAUAAGAUAGAAAGUAAAGAUAAGGAGAAAGGGGUUACUCCUACUACUAGGACUAUAGAUGUGAAAUGUUAUAAGUGUUUGGAAUAUGGGCAUUAUGCUUCCAAAUGUUCUAACAAGAGAGUCAUGGUGAUUAGGGAAGAUAGGGAGGUAGAGAGUGAGGAAGAAAAUGAGGCCGAGCCUUUGAUGCUAGUUGAGGGGAAUCAAAAUGAAGAGGAUGUGCAUAUUGAGGAGCCAUCCAAUGGGUAUGACUUUACAUCGGUUACCAUGAGGACCUUGAGUGC
RNAcentral lists this unclassified non-coding RNA (501 nucleotides) under Hevea brasiliensis (rubber tree). Lineage: Eukaryota; Viridiplantae; Streptophyta; Magnoliopsida; Malpighiales; Euphorbiaceae. The record is from RNAcentral.